AGCCCUUUAGCUCAGUCGGUAGAGCACACGCUCGAUAAGCGUGGGGUCGGCAAUUCGAAUUUGCCAAGGGCUACCA
RNAcentral lists this transfer RNA (76 nucleotides) under Burkholderiaceae bacterium. RNAcentral's name for it is "tRNA-Ile". The record is from RNAcentral. Lineage: Bacteria; Pseudomonadati; Pseudomonadota; Betaproteobacteria; Burkholderiales; Burkholderiaceae.